ACAGCUCAGUGGUAGAGCAUCUGCUUUGCAUGCUGAAAGUCCUGGGUUCAACCCUUGGCAUCUGCA
Non-coding RNA from Podarcis lilfordi (Lilford's wall lizard), 66 nucleotides. Lineage: Eukaryota; Metazoa; Chordata; Lepidosauria; Squamata; Lacertidae. The record is from the annotation of a GenBank genome assembly.